UAUUGUACCUUGUUGCUUCGGCGCGCCCGCCUCACGGCCGCCGGGGGGCAUCCGCCCCCGGGCCCGCGCCCGCCGAAGACACCAUUGAACUCUUGUCUGAAGAUUGCAGUCUGAGUAGAUUAGCUAAAUCAGUUAAAACUUUCAACAACGGAUCUCUUGGUUCCGGCAUCGAUGAAGAACGCAGCGAAAUGCGAUAAGUAAUGUGAAUUGCAGAAUUCAGUGAAUCAUCGAGUCUUUGAACGCACAUUGCGCCCCCUGGUAUUCCGGGGGGCAUGCCUGUCCGAGCGUCAUUGCUGCCCUCAAGCACGGCUUGUGUGUUGGGCUUCGCCCCCCGUUCAUCGGGGGGCGGGCCCGAAAGGCAGCGGCGGCACCGCGUCCGGUCCUCGAGCGUAUGGGGCUUUGUCACCCGCUCUGUAGGCCCGGCCGGCGCCCGCCGGCGACACCCAAAUCAAUCUAUCCAGGUUGACCUCGGAUCAGGUAGGGAUACC
Molecule: ribosomal RNA, 488 nt
Filed under: Penicillium sp. P-26
Lineage: Eukaryota; Fungi; Ascomycota; Eurotiomycetes; Eurotiales; Aspergillaceae
Description: partial internal transcribed spacer 1, 5.8S ribosomal RNA, and internal transcribed spacer 2
Rfam family: 5.8S ribosomal RNA (bases 137-290)
Source: RNAcentral